Long non-coding RNA from Pomacea canaliculata, 1334 nucleotides. RefSeq lists it as uncharacterized. The transcript has 5 exons. The record is from RefSeq and is a predicted model, not a curated record. NCBI's taxonomy places the organism in Eukaryota, Metazoa, Mollusca, Gastropoda, Architaenioglossa, Ampullariidae.
CUGUGAAAUAUAUUUCUUAGAAACCGACCAAUCGCAACAGUUAUACGUCAGAGUCUCCGAGGUUUCCUAUUGCAACGAAAAUUUUCUCUGAUCGAGUGAAGGAGAGCACGCCUCGUAUGCAGACAACUGGUUUUGAGCUGAUGGAAAAGUCGGGGCGAGCACAACAAAGGCAGGACAGGACAGGAUGACACGUCAAGUCGACCGCGAACCGACUCGUGAACAAUGGCCGGGCUUCAGUGGACCCGCGGAAUGACCAUGCAAUUACGCAAGUCAACGCUUGUUCCGCGAGUUCCCGAUCCAAAGAGCCGACUACGAGUGCGAUGAAGUGACAGCGACAUAUUGGGAUGAAAGGUUACAGGGUUCGUGAGACGGUUCUUCUUGAGACACGUGUUUAUCUGUAAUUUGUAGCGAGUCGAGCUGGCGCUGUUUAUGUAUUGCAUCUCUAGAAGACUGAAGUAAAGAAGUCACUAUAGUACCUGAGGGUCUCAACAAAGGUCGAGUUCUCAGAUGUUCUCCACAACGUUCGGCGCUGCAUGCUCACCGACAGCGACAACGCCGAUGGGACAAAGCAUGAUCUUCACCUUCCUGCAGAAACCUCAUGGAAUUCUUGAGUUCAGACAGCUUCAGUGUCAUUUAGGUGUGGCAAGAAUUUUUCCAGCAGCGUUCGAACUGGGGAUGUGACAGACGUGUAUUGCUGUGUUGAGACUGUGAUGUCUCCAGUGUGCCAUGUCAGUGCGACACCACUGUGUCGUCAGCAGCCAGUCUCCCGGUGUGUGCCAGAGGUCGCUGGCAGCGUGGUAUCACAUUGUAUGCUGUGUUAUAAGUGCCAGGGUGCGGUCCAAAUCAAACUACUAAUGUAUGGCUAAUACUCAAUUCGACACUCAAUUCGUGUUUGUUAUUUAGAACUAUCGUUGUUACAGUAACGAAUAAGGAAAAAAUAAUAAACUAAUAUAAGAGCACGACCACACCGCAUUUUAGUGCAUCAAUUAAAUUUUAAAAUAAAGUGCUUUUUUCAUAUGGAUAUGCAGGUAUGUGAAUUAUUUCCUCAGAUUAAAAAAAAAACAACAACAAAAAAAAAAAAAAACAGCGCAAACGAGGUGAGAGUACGUACCCUGGUGCAUUUCUUUACCAAUAAUAUCUUAGUGACUACUCUUUUCAAAGAUCGUCUUGUGCCACCCGAGGAAUUUUAUGUUGAAAAUGUGAUUCUUAAAGUGAUUUUAAUCAUAUUUCAGCAAUUGCGUAUCUAUAUGUAUAUUUUGGUGUUUUUUAUAUAUAAGACAGCUAUAGAUAUAUCAAAUAGCAUAUUUUAAAUCUAAACACUUAUACUGAUCACC